AUGCCUCCGCCUCGCCGCGCGCUCCUCUGCUCCCUCCUCCGCAUCCGCGGCUGCUCCUCCCUUGCCCACCACCGACCGCGGCCGCCGCCGCCCUCCUCGCGCCGCCACCAGUUCGUCGCCGACCCCAACGCCGCCGCCGGCACGGGGCGAAGCAGCGUCGGCGGAAACCCCUUGGACCCCACCCAGCUCCUCCGCGACGACCCGGUGUCCAUCACCGCGUCGCUGUGGGUCUCCUCCUUCCGCGCCGCCGCGCCUGGCGACGCCGCUCCGCCACCGCCGCCGACGCUGGCCCCCUUCCUCACUCGCCUCGAGCUCUGGGUGCUCGCCUACCAGAAGGCCUACGCGGACGAGACCGGCUCCUACCUACCCCGUUCCUCCAUCCCCGCCUCCACGCUCACCUCCAUCCUCACGCUCCGCAACGCCGUCAUCGACGCCCGCUUCCGCUUCGGCAACCGCCUCACACCCUACCUCCACUCCCCACGCGCCGCGGCGGCCCCGGACCCCGCCACCCUCUCCAAGCGCAAGCUCCGCGCCCUCCUCACCACCCCGGGCCCGGCCCCCUUCCAGGACCGCGUCGUGCAAGAGCUACUCCUGCUGCUGCUCGAGCCCGUGUAUGAGGCGCGGUUCUCGCCCAAGUCCUUUGCCUUCCGCCCUGGGCGAUCCCCGCAUGCCACACUCCGUAGCAUCCGCCGGAGCUGGGCGCCCUACCUCUGGUACAUCAAGGGAGACCUCUCCCCGCUGCUUGAUUCCCCCGACCCUGCGCUCGUGGUCGGUGCGCUCAUCCGGGAUGUGCGUGACAAGAAAGUCGUCGAUUUAGUCCGUUCGGCGCUGCUUACUCCAGUGGUGACCGCAAGGCCUGGUGAUGAUGAUGCAUCAAAGAAGAAGAAGAAGAGGAAGUACCAGAAAAAGAAGGUGCUGCCUGAAGGGGAGCCGAAGCCUGACCCCUACUGGUUGCAGACAUUCUUUGGGUUUGCACCAGAGGAGGCUCUGACUCAGCCUGAUUGGGGGCAUUGUGGGGUGUUGAGCCCGUUGCUCGCCAAUGUCUGCCUGGAUGAGUUUGAUAAGUGGAUGGACGAGAAGAUCAAGGAGUUCUACAAGCCGUCCAAGUCGGAUGUUGUGGGAGGGGAGGAUGGCAUCGAGCAGGGGAAUACAUCAUGGCCGGAGUUUGUACCCACGAGCGGGCCUGACAAAACAAGGAAGGUGGACUAUAUUCGGUUUGGCGGGCAUUUCUUGAUUGGGGUGAGGGGGCCUAGGGCUGAUGCUGCAGUGAUCCGAAAGCAGCUCAUUGAAUUUUGUGAUCAGCGGUUCAGGAUCAAGCUUGACAAUGAGAGCCUCCCAAUUGAACACAUCACUAAAGGGAUCAUGUUUCUUGAUCAUGUGUUGUGUCGUCGUGUCGUGUACCCAACCCUCCGUUACACAGCCACUGGAGGCAAGAUCAUUAGCGAGAAGGGGGUUGGUACUUUGCUCUCUGUUACAGCCAGUUUGAAACAGUGCAUCAGGCAGUUCCGGAAGCUAGAGUUUUUAAAGGGAGACCGUGAGCCAGACCCACAGCCAUGUUUCCGGAUGUUCCAUGCCACACAAGCUCACACUAACUUGCAGAUGAAUAAGCUUUUAACGACGAUGGCAGAAUGGUAUCGCUACGCUGAUAACCGCAAAAAGGUUGUCAACUUUUGCUCCUACAUUAUAAGGGGGUCCUUGGCAAAGUUAUAUGCCGCCAAGUAUAAGCUGCGGUCAAGGGCAAAGGUUUAUAAGAUUGCAUCAAGGAAUCUUAGUCGACCAUUGAAGGAUAAGAAAGGGCAGUCACCAGAGUACACCAAUUUGCUGAGAAUGGGUCUUGUAGACUCAGUUGAUGGACUCCAGUAUACAAGGAUGUCAAUGGUUCCUGAUCCUGACUAUACACCAUUACCAAGCGGGUGGCGCCCAGACCACGAGAAGUUUUUGCUUGAAUAUAUAAAGCUCACAGAUCAACAAACACUGGAAGAGCAGCGGAGUUGCAUUAGAGAGGAGGGGCUUAUAACACCACAAGACCACAUUUCAAUGCUUGUAUGGAGCUACAAGAAAAAUGCAGUUUUACUACCUUCUUCAAAAGAGAGUGAUGUCCAAGAUUCCAUAGAAGACCUUGGUUCAGACACAGAUGAAUUGAAUAACAAGGAACUAGGGCAUGGAGGCCAUCAGGGUUUUCCACAACCUACUGAAAUGUCUUGA
Molecule: ribosomal RNA, 2205 nt
Filed under: Triticum aestivum (bread wheat)
Lineage: Eukaryota; Viridiplantae; Streptophyta; Magnoliopsida; Poales; Poaceae
Description: partial small subunit ribosomal RNA
Source: RNAcentral